AGAGUUUGAUCCUGGCUCAGGAUGAACGCUGGCGGCGUGCCUAAUACAUGCAAGUCGAGCGAACGGACGAGAAGCUUGCUUCUCUGAUGUUAGCGGCGGACGGGUGAGUAACACGUGGAUAACCUACCUAUAAGACUGGGAUAACUUCGGGAAACCGGAGCUAAUACCGGAUAAUAUUUUGAACCGCAUGGUUCAAAAGUGAAAGACGGUCUUGCUGUCACUUAUAGAUGGAUCCGCGCUGCAUUAGCUAGUUGGUAAGGUAACGGCUUACCAAGGCAACGAUGCAUAGCCGACCUGAGAGGGUGAUCGGCCACACUGGAACUGAGACACGGUCCAGACUCCUACGGGAGGCAGCAGUAGGGAAUCUUCCGCAAUGGGCGAAAGCCUGACGGAGCAACGCCGCGUGAGUGAUGAAGGUCUUCGGAUCGUAAAACUCUGUUAUUAGGGAAGAACAUAUAUGUAAGUAACUGUGCACAUCUUGACGGUACCUAAUCAGAAAGCCACGGCUAACUACGUGCCAGCAGCCGCGGUAAUACGUAGGUGGCAAGCGUUAUCCGGAAUUAUUGGGCGUAAAGCGCGCGUAGGCGGUUUUUUAAGUCUGAUGUGAAAGCCCACGGCUCAACCGUGGAGGGUCAUUGGAAACUGGAAAACUUGAGUGCAGAAGAGGAAAGUGGAAUUCCAUGUGUAGCGGUGAAAUGCGCAGAGAUAUGGAGGAACACCAGUGGCGAAGGCGACUUUCUGGUCUGUAACUGACGCUGAUGUGCGAAAGCGUGGGGAUCAAACAGGAUUAGAUACCCUGGUAGUCCACGCCGUAAACGAUGAGUGCUAAGUGUUAGGGGGUUUCCGCCCCUUAGUGCUGCAGCUAACGCAUUAAGCACUCCGCCUGGGGAGUACGACCGCAAGGUUGAAACUCAAAGGAAUUGACGGGGACCCGCACAAGCGGUGGAGCAUGUGGUUUAAUUCGAAGCAACGCGAAGAACCUUACCAAAUCUUGACAUCCUUUGACAACUCUAGAGAUAGAGCUUUCCCCUUCGGGGGACAAAGUGACAGGUGGUGCAUGGUUGUCGUCAGCUCGUGUCGUGAGAUGUUGGGUUAAGUCCCGCAACGAGCGCAACCCUUAAGCUUAGUUGCCAUCAUUAAGUUGGGCACUCUAAGUUGACUGCCGGUGACAAACCGGAGGAAGGUGGGGAUGACGUCAAAUCAUCAUGCCCCUUAUGAUUUGGGCUACACACGUGCUACAAUGGACAAUACAAAGGGCAGCGAAACCGCGAGGUCAAGCAAAUCCCAUAAAGUUGUUCUCAGUUCGGAUUGUAGUCUGCAACUCGACUACAUGAAGCUGGAAUCGCUAGUAAUCGUAGAUCAGCAUGCUACGGUGAAUACGUUCCCGGGUCUUGUACACACCGCCCGUCACACCACGAGAGUUUGUAACACCCGAAGCCGGUGGAGUAACCUUUUAGGAGCUAGCCGUCGAAGGUGGGACAAAUGAUUGGGGUGAAGUCGUAACAAGGUAGCCGUAUCGGAAGGUGCGGCUGGAUCACCU
Molecule: ribosomal RNA, 1540 nt
Filed under: Staphylococcus aureus
Lineage: Bacteria; Bacillati; Bacillota; Bacilli; Caryophanales; Staphylococcaceae
Also listed under: 1 other name
Description: bacterial SSU rRNA
Rfam family: Bacterial small subunit ribosomal RNA
Source: RNAcentral